UAUUUUAGACUAGGUGUCUUGCUGAAUUUGGAACAAUCUAAAGAAAAUUAGCAUGGAUCCUGUGCAAGGAUAACCCCAAAAUUCAUGAAGUGUUCCAUAUUUUG
This 104-nucleotide small nuclear RNA is filed under the name Cricetulus griseus (Chinese hamster). The record is from RNAcentral. Lineage: Eukaryota; Metazoa; Chordata; Mammalia; Rodentia; Cricetidae.